UACGAAGGGGGCUAGCGUUGUUCGGAAUUACUGGGCGUAAAGCGCACGCAGGCGGAUUGAUUAGUCAGGGGUGAAAUCCCGGGGCUCAACCUCGGAAUUGCCUUUGAUACUGUCAGUCUUGAGUCCGGGAGAGGUGAGUGGAAUUCCUAGUGUAGAGGUGAAAUUCGUAGAUAUUAGGGAGAACACCAGUGGCGAAGGCGGCUCACUGGCCCGGUACUGACGCUCAUGUGCGAAAGCGUGGGGAGCAAACAGG
Molecule: ribosomal RNA, 253 nt
Filed under: uncultured bacterium
Lineage: Bacteria
Description: partial 16S ribosomal RNA
Rfam family: Bacterial small subunit ribosomal RNA
Source: RNAcentral